CAAAAGCCACGUUCCACCUGGGAGGCACAAUUUCAGUGUUGUUUGUCCAUCUUGCCCUUCUCUCAAAGCAAACAUCAUUUUCUCUCGUUUCUCUCAACACAACAUCUAUUUCUCUUUUUUGUUCUGUAAAUCCAAUCAAGAACAUCAACCCUAAUUGGAAUCUUCUUGAUUUAGGGAUGGAUGUGAAUUACAGAACCAUCCAUAUGACGUAGAUGGUUCAAGAUUGACCCAGCCGAGAUCGCGUCUUCGUCUCUCUCAUGUGCCGUAGAUGGUUCAAGAUUGACUAUGAGACGAGAGAACAUGUCACCAUCGCUCUCUGCUACAAAUCCACUCCCGAUCGUUUCAGCUGUAGGAUUCGAAUCUGAUGUAUCUCAAGCUCAAAGGGAAGCCUCGUGCAACUAUUUUCAGUCUCAUCUCUGAGAACUGGGAGGGUUUGUCACUCCUUGGGUCAAUGAGAUAGUUGUAUCGCUCGAAGGCUUAAAUCUGUGCACUUUACUACUUUAGGCGAAUGAUUGUCAGUGACUUGGAUCUGGAUGUUUUGGCUAAGGCGAGGUUAGAUAAGCUUGAAGGUUUGAAGCUAGAUAAGUGCUCUGGGUUCUCUACUGAUGGGCUGUUGAGCAUCGUCAAACCCUGCAGAAAAGGGAAGAGGAAUGGAAAUCAUGUACAAACGCAGAGGAGGUUGGACAGGUGUUGGAUUCGAUGUGGAUGGUGGAAAUUGAGUAAGUUGAAUAUAUAUAUUACAAUACACACAUCCAAAAAGCUGCAUAUGUGUUAUAUGUGUUACAAAUAUGUUUUUUUUUUGUGCUUCUUGUUUUUCUUGUUCCCGUAAGAAUGUUUAACGAGUGUGUCAAAUUGUUAGUUUUAUUAAUGUACUUUGGUCUCACAAAUCCAUGAAAAUGGUUUCACC
Molecule: long non-coding RNA, 907 nt
Organism: Brassica napus (rape)
Lineage: Eukaryota; Viridiplantae; Streptophyta; Magnoliopsida; Brassicales; Brassicaceae
Exons: 2
Source: RefSeq, a predicted model, not a curated record